ACUCAAACUACGAACCAGGGAUAAGCAGGAAAUGCAAAUAAUAUUUGUAGCUAGAAUUCACUCGUUAGCUAAAGUCAAAGGUAAUUUACGGAACAUUUAUGAACUUUUCAACGUUUGUGUCGAGUAGUAAAGCUUCACCUCAUAGCCAGCUCGUUUUCCAUCGGCAAAUUAAUGCCAAAACAUCUGCUAGCCAGUACACUAUAGUUACUGUUAGCUAGCUAAACUAGAUUAGUUUAUUUGUCACAGAUGUAAUCGCAAGGUACGAGUACAGUGCAAUUCUAAUGAUCCAUGCUACAACAGUGCAGGUCAAAAAAGAGAAGGGAAUGAGAUAAUAGAAUUUAGGGUAUGGAAUGACCAUAAGGGGAGCACGACCCACGAACCCCCACCACACAGCCGAGAGCUUGGGUGGCACCAACCCCAGUUCAGCCCCCCAAAUCACAACCAGCACCAGGACAUCAGACAGGGCAGGUGAGCCCUUCAGUCCAUACAGACAAGGACAGUUCAUGAAGAAACACAAGGUCUACACAUGAGAAAGAGCUGUUUCACUGUCACCUAAAAUCCAUUUGAACAACAAAUCAUUUUAAUUUUGGUAUUUUAAUUCAUAUGUUCAGUAUAUAGGAAUCUCUUGUUGCUGCUAAAUGCAAAUACAUAUUUGCAUGUGCAUCUACUAGUAACCCUCUGUUCUGAUUUGAUAUGUUUUGAUCACAUAUCUGAAUUCUAAGAUUUCUAAGGUGCUUCUACACCUGCAUUGCUUGCUGUUUGGGGUUUUAGGCUGGGUUUCUGUACAGCACUUUGAGAUAUCAGCUGAUGUACGAAGGGCUAUAUAAAUAAAUUUGAUUACAUUCCUUCUCAAUGUUA
Long non-coding RNA from Oncorhynchus kisutch (coho salmon), 858 nucleotides. RefSeq lists it as uncharacterized. The transcript is spliced from 2 exons. The record is from RefSeq and is a predicted model, not a curated record. NCBI's taxonomy places the organism in Eukaryota, Metazoa, Chordata, Actinopteri, Salmoniformes, Salmonidae.